GAUGAACGCUGACAGAAUGCUUAACACAUGCAAGUCUACUUGAACUUCGGUUUGGGUGGCGGACGGGUGAGUCACGCGUAAAGAACUUGCCUCACAGUUAGGGACAACAUUUGGAAACGAAUGCUAAUACCUGAUAUUAUGAUUUUAGGGCAUCCUAGGAUUAUGAAAGCUAUAUGUGCUGUGAGAGAGCUUUGCGUCCCAUUAGCUAGUUGGAGAGGUAACGGCUCACCAAGGCGAUGAUGGGUAGCCGGCCUGAGAGGGUGAACGGCCACAAGGGGACUGAGACACGGCCCUUACUCCUACGGGAGGCAACAGUGGGGAAUAUUGGACAAUGGACCAAAAGUCUGAUCCAGCAAUUCUGUGUGCACGAUGACGUUUUUCGGAAUGUAAAGUGCUUUCAGUUGGGAAGAAAAAAAUGACGGUACCAACAGAAGAAGUGACGGCUAAAUACGUG
This 454-nucleotide ribosomal RNA is filed under the name uncultured bacterium. Its description in RNAcentral is "partial 16S ribosomal RNA". It matches the Rfam family "Bacterial small subunit ribosomal RNA", at positions 28 to 507 of the family's 1533-position model. The record is from RNAcentral.